RNAcentral lists this ribosomal RNA (162 nucleotides) under uncultured bacterium. RNAcentral's name for it is "partial 16S ribosomal RNA". It matches the Rfam family "Bacterial small subunit ribosomal RNA", at positions 355 to 509 of the family's 1533-position model. The record is from RNAcentral.
UGGGGAAUUUUGGACAAUGGGCGCAAGCCUGAUCCAGCCAUGCCGCGUGCAGGAUGAAGGCCUUCGGGUUGUAAACUGCUUUUGUACGGAACGAAAAGGUGCCUUCUAAUAAAGGGCGCUCAUGACGGUACCGUAAGAAUAAGCACCGGCUAACUACGUGCC